GACGAACGCUGGCGGCGUGCUUAACACAUGCAAGUCGAACGGAAAGGCCCUGCUUUUGUGGGGUGCUCGAGUGGCGAACGGGUGAGUAACACGUGAGUAACCUGCCCUUGACUUUGGGAUAACUUCAGGAAACUGGGGCUAAUACCGGAUAGGAGCUCCUGCUGCAUGGUGGGGGUUGGAAAGUUUCGGCGGUUGGGGAUGGACUCGCGGCUUAUCAGCUUGUUGGUGGGGUAGUGGCUUACCAAGGCUUUGACGGGUAGCCGGCCUGGGAGGGUGACCGGCGACAUUGGGACUGCGAUACGGCCCAGACUCCUACGGGAGGCAGCAGUGGAGAAUAUUGCACAAUGGGCGGAAGCCAGAUGCAGCAACGCCGCGUGCGGGAUGACGGCCUUCGGGUUGUAAACCGCUUUCGCCUGUGACGAAGCGUGAGUGACGGUAAUGGGUAAAGAAGCACCGGCUAACUACGUG
RNAcentral lists this ribosomal RNA (468 nucleotides) under uncultured bacterium. Its description in RNAcentral is "partial 16S ribosomal RNA". It matches the Rfam family "Bacterial small subunit ribosomal RNA", at positions 28 to 507 of the family's 1533-position model. The record is from RNAcentral.